AGCGGCGGACGGGUGAGUAACGCGUGGGUAACCUGCCUCAUACAGGGGGAUAACAGUUAGAAAUGACUGCUAAUACCGCAUAAGACCACGGUACCGCAUGGUACAGUGGUAAAAACUCCGGUGGUAUGAGAUGGACCCGCGUCUGAUUAGGUAGUUGGUGGGGUAACGGCCUACCAAGCCGACGAUCAGUAGCCGACCUGAGAGGGUGACCGGCCACAUUGGGACUGAGACACGGCCCAA
Molecule: ribosomal RNA, 240 nt
Filed under: uncultured bacterium
Lineage: Bacteria
Description: partial 16S ribosomal RNA
Rfam family: Bacterial small subunit ribosomal RNA
Source: RNAcentral